AGUGAACGCUGGCGGUAGGCCUAACACAUGCAAGUCGAACGGCAGCACAGUAAGAGCUUGCUCUUACGGGUGGCGAGUGGCGGACGGGUGAGGAAUACAUCGGAAUCUACUUUUUCGUGGGGGAUAACGUAGGGAAACUUACGCUAAUACCGCAUACGACCUACGGGUGAAAGCAGGGGAUCUUCGGACCUUGCGCGAUUGAAUGAGCCGAUGUCGAAUUAGCUAGUUGGCGGGGUAAAGGCCCACCAAGGCGACGAUCCGUAGCUGGUCUGAGAGGAUGAUCAGCCACACUGGAACUGAGACACGGUCCAGACUCCUACGGGAGGCAGCAGUGGGGAAUAUUGGACAAUGGGCGCAAGCCUGAUCCAGCCAUACCGCGUGGGUGAAGAAGGCCUUCGGGUUGUAAGGCCCUUUUGUUGGGAAAGAAAAGCAGCAGGUUAAUACCCCGCUGUUCUGACGGUACCCAAAGAAUAAGCACCGGCUAACUUCGUG
Molecule: ribosomal RNA, 492 nt
Filed under: uncultured bacterium
Lineage: Bacteria
Description: partial 16S ribosomal RNA
Rfam family: Bacterial small subunit ribosomal RNA
Source: RNAcentral